GUGCUUGCUUUGGCAACACAUACACUAAAAUUGGAACGAUACAGAGAAGAUUAGCAUGGCCUCUACACAAGGAUUACGUGCAAAUUCACAAAGUGUUCCAUUAAAAU
This 107-nucleotide small nuclear RNA is filed under the name Rhinopithecus bieti (black snub-nosed monkey). The record is from RNAcentral. Lineage: Eukaryota; Metazoa; Chordata; Mammalia; Primates; Cercopithecidae. RNAcentral also lists the same sequence under 1 other name.